GCUUACAUCCAUACCAUGCUGAGCAUGCCCGAGCUCAUCUGAUCUCAAAAGCUAAGCAGGGUCGGGCCUUGGAUGGGAGAACGCCUGGAAAAACCAGGUGCUGUAAGCU
This 109-nucleotide ribosomal RNA is filed under the name Amphilophus citrinellus (Midas cichlid). Lineage: Eukaryota; Metazoa; Chordata; Actinopteri; Cichliformes; Cichlidae. The record is from RNAcentral.